This 294-nucleotide small nuclear RNA is filed under the name Peromyscus maniculatus bairdii (prairie deer mouse). Its description in RNAcentral is "7SK RNA (ENSPEMG00000006068.2)". It matches the Rfam family "7SK RNA". From Rfam's summary of the family: 7SK was discovered as an abundant small nuclear RNA in the mid-70s but a possible function has only recently been suggested. The record is from Rfam by way of RNAcentral. Lineage: Eukaryota; Metazoa; Chordata; Mammalia; Rodentia; Cricetidae.
GGAUGUGAGGGCAAUCCGGCUGUGGUGUCGAUCAUCCCAGUGAUUGCCACGGUUGAUUGUGCUCCCUUCUUUUCUUACAACUCCCCAUGUGUCCCUCCCAAAACUGCUUGUUUGACUAGAGAGAAUUAAUUGUCUUCUAGAAGAGCAGGGCCUACUGGCCUUUGGUCAAAGGUAUAGAAAUAGCUGCACUUCAUAGCUAGAACCUCCAAAAACUUUUAAGAAUGCAAAAGUCUUCAGGACUGUCUCUCAGGAGCCAACAAUACUCAAACCACUCAAUCAUGUUUGGUUUUAUUU